GGGAAGGAAAAAAAACAUACACAGCUGUGGACCACUUCUAAACACCCCUGUCUACGAUGUGAUUGGAUGAUGCAUAAACAUGGCUUUCUACAGCAAUGAUGCUGCUGUUCUUCUAAUGAAGCAAGUCUGUGGAAACUGGCUGCAAUCCUCAGCCAAUGAAGCAACUAGAAAAACAGGUUUUAGUUAAACCUUCUACAAUGGUGGUUUUCAAGCCCAGCUGAAGAUAAUAGCCAAACACUGGACUUGGAACUGGAAAGAGGGGCACAACACUGAGGGGCAGAAUAAGCAGAAAGUAAGGGACCUGAUGAAGGUUUUAUAUCAGUUCUGCCAGUCUACAAAAGCAGCUAAUUAUUGCAUGAGCUUCAGAGCCAACUGAAAUAACUCCACAGGACGGUUAUAAAAUCCUAUGAUUAUUGGUGUCACAGACACCAGUACCACAUAUGCAAGUGGGACAUAGAAAAUGCCUUGACCGAUUCUGUGGUUCCAGAAUUGUCUGAUGAUGUCAUAGCCUGAGAACCUCUCCAGUAAUCCCAGAAGUCCUUGUUAAGAUCUCUUUCACAUUAGGUGGCUAAGAAACCAUGGCGUCUGUUGACACAACCCUGAAUAUCAUCAACUGUGCUUUGCAUGACAGAGCUGGGGGCAGUCCUAUCAACAUUACACAUCAGGGAGACUGGAAGUCCCUCUCUUGAGUCCCA
This 695-nucleotide long non-coding RNA is filed under the name Cricetulus griseus (Chinese hamster). RNAcentral describes it as "lncRNA (ENSCGRG00015035236.1)". The record is from RNAcentral. Lineage: Eukaryota; Metazoa; Chordata; Mammalia; Rodentia; Cricetidae.